RNAcentral lists this ribosomal RNA (222 nucleotides) under uncultured bacterium. RNAcentral's name for it is "partial 16S ribosomal RNA". It matches the Rfam family "Bacterial small subunit ribosomal RNA", at positions 524 to 744 of the family's 1533-position model. The record is from RNAcentral.
UACGAAGGGUGCAAGCGUUACUCGGAAUUACUGGGCGUAAAGCGUGCGUAGGUGGUGCGUUAAGUCUGUCGUGAAAGCCCCGGGCUCAACCUGGGAAUGGCGAUGGAUACUGGCGCGCUAGAGUGCGGUAGAGGAGAGUGGAAUUCCCGGUGUAGCAGUGAAAUGCGUAGAGAUCGGGAGGAAGCUCAGUGACGAGGCGGCUCUGUGGACCAGUCAGCUGAC